UCGAAACUGUACAGAUCAACAACCCAAUUGAGAUGCGAUUAAUCAGCACACACCCCAGAUGUACUGAUUUUAAAUAGUACCGAAUUUGACCUUUCAUCUUAACCAAUCACAAAAAGCUGUCACCGGAAGCAGACACAGAUAGUCCAGGGAUGCCGCCCUGAUGAUGAUGAUAUGGAUAUGGUCUAAGGGCAAUUUCUUUUCUUUUCUUUUUUUAUUAUUAGUGUUGUUAUUAUUUUAUUUGGUCUUGCUUCGAAUUGGGUUCAACACAUGACACAAUUCAUUGUUUAUUUGAUCUUGAAAUGGGUCUGAAUUAAGGGGAGAAGAAAACGAAUGAGUGUACUAGUCAAUAAAGGAAGCUGCAUAAUUAGAUGCUUGGGAAAAAUAUGUGGCCAGCGAUAUCACCAACCCACUUUAGUAAUUAUCUUGGACUCAAGGCCUCAAAACAAAAAGAUUUCUGUAUGGUGGGCUACCCACCCCCGGUCCAACUUAACUCACAACACCUACCCCAAAUUUAUUGUCCUUUAGCUCCUCAUUACAUGAAUGCUGCUGCGUCAGGUCAAAGGGUUGAGAAUGGGCAGCGAUCAUCGACAAUAAGCCCUAAUACUUCUUAGGAACCUCCACCCGGUUUUUAGGAUCAUGUGUCACUAUUGAGAGCAGUAAUCGCUACACGUAACCAGACAAUUUGUUCAAUUUUAAUGUUAACAUAUUCCAUAUUGGGGACUCAAUUUGGGUUUAGAAUACCCAUCACCAGAAGUCGAAGACUCAAUGGCCAAUUUAAUUUUUAUUAUAGCUCUUUUGUUGACGUUUUACUAUUUGAUUUCAGAUAUUACCAACACGCUUGUGAGUAGUCAUGGUCAAUAUUGAAUCAUUGAUUGAUUUCGACAGAGAAGAAAAACUUGAAAUCUUGGAACGGAGGUGUUGUGAUCAAACUUUUCUAUUCGACAACCAAGUGGGUAUAGUCAGCGAUAAACGUUCACAAUUUUAUGCAAUGACGAUUAACAGCCUAAACAAUUCUGCUUUCUCUCUCUGGAAAGAGACGGCACCAUCAACAAUUAAUUAUUUAUUUAUUACUAUUUUUGUUAUUAGAUAUCUAAACAAUGAUGGAACGGUGACGCCCGACUCAGAUUCAGAUCAAACGGGCUGUGGAAGCCGUGGUAGAAAACCUACCACUAAUAUCAAACUACUCAUCAUAAAAAAUUGUAUGAGUCAAAACCAUGGUAGAAUCGUAACCUAUGCUGAGAUGUAAGACAUAGAAGCGACUGCAAAACUAAUGAGAGUAAAGGAAGCAGAGGAGGAAUAAGCCAUUGAGGCCCGCGGAGAUGGCGCUGGAGUUUCUUCUGGCGUUUCCGCUGGAAUUGGGGAUGAAGGACUGGGAGGAAUGGCUGCAAUGAUAUAACAAACAAUGUUCAUUAGGGAUUGAAAUUUUAAUACAAACCAUUUAUGUUCUCUA
This 1450-nucleotide long non-coding RNA is filed under the name Vitis vinifera (wine grape). Its description in RNAcentral is "long non-coding RNA (VVIN_LNC005931)". The record is from RNAcentral. Lineage: Eukaryota; Viridiplantae; Streptophyta; Magnoliopsida; Vitales; Vitaceae.